This 465-nucleotide ribosomal RNA is filed under the name uncultured bacterium. Its description in RNAcentral is "partial 16S ribosomal RNA". It matches the Rfam family "Bacterial small subunit ribosomal RNA", at positions 28 to 507 of the family's 1533-position model. The record is from RNAcentral.
GACGAACGCUGGCGGCGUGCUUAACACAUGCAAGUCGAACGGAAAGGCCCUGCUUGCAUGGUACUCUAGUGGCGAACGGGUGAGUAUCACGUGGGUGAUCUGCCCUGCACUUCGGGAUAAGCCUGGGUAACUGUGUCUCAUAUCGGGUAGGAGCCAUCCUUCGUGUGGUGGUUGGAUAGUUUUUUCGGUGUAGGAUGAGUUCGCGGCCUAUCUGCUUGUUGGUGGGGUAAGGGCCUACCAAGGGGGCGACGGGUAGCCGGCCUGCGUGGGUGGACGGCCACAAUGGGACUGGGGAACGGCCCAGACUCCUACGGGGGGCAACAGUGGGGAAUAUUGCACAAUGGGCGCAAGCCUGAUGCAGCGACGCCGCGUGGGGGAUGACGGCCUUCGGGUUGUAAACUCCUUUCGGUAGGGGCGAAGCUGUUAGUGACGGUACCUAGAUAAGAAGCACCGGCUAACUACGUG